Molecule: ribosomal RNA, 258 nt
Filed under: uncultured bacterium
Lineage: Bacteria
Description: partial 16S ribosomal RNA
Rfam family: Bacterial small subunit ribosomal RNA
Source: RNAcentral
UACGUAGGGUGCGAGCGUUGUCCGGAAUUAUUGGGCGUAAAGAGCUCGUAGGCGGUGUGUCACGUCGGCCGUGAAAACCUGCAGCUUAACUGUGGGCGUGCGGUCGAUACGGGCAUCACUGGAGUUCGGCAGGGGAGACUGGAAUUCCUGGUGUAGCGGUGAAAUGCGCAGAUAUCAGGAGGAACACCGGUGGCGAAGGCGGGUCUCUGGGCCGAUACUGACGCUGGAGGAGCGAAAAGCGUGGGGGAGCAAAACAGG